AGACGCCACCCGCGCCGUGGCCCCGAGAACCCUGCGCGGCGGCGGCGGCGGCGGCGGCGGCGGCUGCGGCUCCAGCGGCGGCGUCCCAGGCUGCGGUGGCGGUGACGCUCCGGGUGGCGAGCGACUGCGGCUGCGGGCGCGUGGGGGGUGGGGGUGGGGCGCCUGGGGACCCGGCCGGGGGCCGGCGGAGGAGCAGGACCGGGCCGGAGGGCUCGGAGGCGGCGCAGGCGGCCAGGAGCCGGGGAGGAGCAGCGGCCACCGCCGCCCCGGCAGCCCCGAGGCCGCACUGGCGCGCACGGCGAGGGCGCGGCUCCCGGCAGCGGGGACGCGCCUCCUCCCGCAGCCCCCGCCCCGCCGCGCUGGCACCGCCCCGUCUCCCAGGAACCCGCGGGCGGCCUCCCCGCGCCCCCUCCGGCCCGGCCCCUCUCCCGGCGGGGACCCAGGCCCUCCUCCGCUUUCCCCCCCGCAGCACAGCCCCGAGGCGCAGGCCCGGAGCGCGCUCGGGAGCCGGGAGCCGGGGGCGGGGGCCCGUCCCGGAUGCUGACCUGAGGCUGGGGGGGCGGGGGUGGCAGGGAGGGGAUGGGGGUGUCGGGUUUCUCCUGGGGGAUCGGAGAAUGGCAGCUCCCCACCUGGGAGCCCCCUCUCCUGCUGACGACGACCAGACCCCCACUGCUGUCUGGGGCCCUCAAAACCACCACAGCCGCUACCUGUCCCCUCCAGGCCUCCAGCCUCUCAGCUAGGCGACCUGGGCCUGCGUGCCAACUGCUGAUCUCCUUCCCCUGGGAAUCGGCCAACCCCAGCUGGCCACAGGCUCCCCGGGCACCCUCCCACACUGGUGUCUCUCCCUUCCCUCCCAGGACACCGGGACAGCCCUCACCAAUACCUUGUACUCCCCGGAGCCCUGGCCCUGGCCUCACCUGGCUGCCACCCCACAGGAGAAAACCACCCACUCAGGCCACCCUCCUCGCGGCCAGCCUGCACUUGGAGAGACCUACCUGGCAGGCAGCGCUUGAUCAAAGACCCCUCACCGAGGCCACAACACCUAAGACUCCUGAAGAAGGGGGCUUCACCAGCGCCCAAGCCGGACCCGGGUCAGUAAACAAAUAUGCCUGAAGACACCGCACGGAGAGACUCUUGGUCUGGUGUCGGCAUUCAAGGAAAAGCAGCUUCGUGCCAUCACGGCCCCAGAGUGGCGGCCUCAGACCUUCCUGACCCGACCCCUCCCACAGGCAGCAGGACAGCGGGCAGCGUCCACGAGGGGGUUUUCGGGGCGAGUCUGCUCCCCACAAGGGCGCCCUUGUUCUCACAGAGGCCCGGCGGCCUCCGCGGGAGAUGGGAGUACUCGCUGCUCGCUGUGCAAGGUGUCAGACGCGAUCUGCACAGCAGCCCCUCUUUCCCUCGCCGCGGCGGGCGGUGUAGGCGCUGACAUGAAUGCCCGCGGUCACUCAGCGGGAAGUGGCUGAGCAGUGCUGGCCUCCGGCUCCCCCCCCCCCCUCUCCCGCUGCGAGACCUCCCCCCACGCCAGCCCCGGGGUGGGGGGGGGGGGCGUCCUGAGCAGGACGGGGACGCGGAAGCAGGGGCAGGGGCAGGCACGUCCCGCCGCCCAGCAAGCUGCAGACGGCCGGCCCGCUGCCUGGGGAGGACGUUCCCCCCCCGCCCCCCACCGGCUGAGUCAGGGGGCCGCCUACCGCCCAGGCACCUCCACCCGGCUCGCCAGCCCAGCUGGCAGGCACGGCUGGGGAGGGGGCUGCAGAUCUGGACGGGACACAGUUCACCGUGAAUGACAGAAAAACGGCAUUAUUUCUUAGCAUAAGAGUAUCUGGCCCAAAGGAACUGAAAUGAAAGCAAGGACCGGAACAGAAUCUCGCACGCCCCUGUGCACCGCGGCUGCCUCACAACAGCCGGAAGGUGAAAACAACCCGUGUCCGUCCACCGAGAAGUGGGUCACAAAACGUGGCAGAGCCACAGGACGGAAUAUUAUUCAGCCUCAACAAGUAACGAAGUGCGACACCUGCUGCGACGUGGAGGCACCUGACCUUGCCAACGCCGUGCGGAGUGAAAGAAACCAGACUUGAAGCAACAGAUACCGUGUGACUCCCUGUACGCGGACGCCCCCAGGGUCGUCAGAGUCACAGUGACAGAGCGGAAGGUGGGCGCCGGGGCCAGGGCGGGGCUGGGGAGUCCGUGUCCCCUGGGGAGAGAGGUCCAGUGGGGGAAGAUGAGAAAAUUCUGGAGACGGAUGGUGUGGACGGUGCGUAUGUGCUUAAUGACCCUGACCUGUACACAAAAAUGGUUAAAAUGCUAAA
Leopardus geoffroyi (Geoffroy's cat) is the source of this 2306-nucleotide long non-coding RNA. RefSeq lists it as uncharacterized. Lineage: Eukaryota; Metazoa; Chordata; Mammalia; Carnivora; Felidae. The transcript has 2 exons. The record is from RefSeq and is a predicted model, not a curated record.